RNAcentral lists this ribosomal RNA (112 nucleotides) under Caerostris darwini. The record is from RNAcentral. Lineage: Eukaryota; Metazoa; Arthropoda; Arachnida; Araneae; Araneidae.
AACGGCCAUACCAUGCUAAAUAUGCCUGUUCUCGUUAGAUCACCGAGGUCGAGCAUCAUUGGGCGCGGUCAGUACUUGGGUGGGUGACCACCUGGGAACACCGCGUGCCGUU